RNAcentral lists this long non-coding RNA (705 nucleotides) under Homo sapiens (human). RNAcentral describes it as "HSALNT0309250". The record is from RNAcentral. Lineage: Eukaryota; Metazoa; Chordata; Mammalia; Primates; Hominidae.
AGGGCACCAACUAGCUAAAAAUGAGAAACAGUAAAUCAUCAUGGCUCUGACCUACACAGAUACAAAGUGAGCUUGUCGGCACUGGGGAGCUAAUCAGGAAAAGGACUGAUGGAAAGAGGAAGAGAGAACAUCUCUGUGGCAAAUCCCUCGUGACUGAGGACCGCAUAUCUGAUGAGUAAGCUUGGAUUUUGAAGACUUCAACAACUUGGCUGCAAGUUGAUGGGAGAAUUGACAUUCUAACCCAGCUCAGUUUGAAGCCUAUAGUCCACUCCACUCCACUCUACCAGCAAAGAACAUAGCCUUGCAAAACAGAGAACAGAAAACAGAAAUGCUUUUUCUUCACUCCCUGUUGGGAGGAUUCUGGAAUAGAGCUGUGAUUUGGCAUACUAUUUCUGCUCCACUUUUGAGUUUCUGCAGCAAACGGCAAGAGAAGGCUGGGGCUGGUAUAAUAAGGUCACCAGGCACCUCAGGGGAACAAAGUGGUAGCGAAAGAGGACCAGGCCGGGCCUGGUGGCUCAGGCCGGGUGUGGUAGCUCACGUCUGUAAUCCCAGAACGUUGGAAGGCCAAGGUGGGUGGAUCACCUGAGGUCAGGAGUGCGAGACCAGCCUGGCCAACAUGGUGAAACCCCGUCUCUACUAAAAAUACAAAAAUUAGCCAGGCGUGGUGGCAUGCGCCUGCAAUCCCAGCUACUCGAGAGACCGAGG